Molecule: non-coding RNA, 74 nt
Organism: Potamilus streckersoni
Lineage: Eukaryota; Metazoa; Mollusca; Bivalvia; Unionida; Unionidae
Source: the annotation of a GenBank genome assembly
GCUCCUGUGGCCUUAGUGGUUAAAGCGUCCGCCUCGGAUUCGUGAUGUCGCGAGUUCAAUCCCCGGCUGAGUCG